This 75-nucleotide transfer RNA is filed under the name Nitrosopumilaceae archaeon. Its description in RNAcentral is "tRNA-Arg". It matches the Rfam family "tRNA". Rfam says of the family: Transfer RNA (tRNA) molecules are approximately 80 nucleotides in length. Their secondary structure includes four short double-helical elements and three loops (D, anti-codon, and T loops). Lineage: Archaea; Thermoproteati; Nitrososphaerota; Nitrososphaeria; Nitrosopumilales; Nitrosopumilaceae. The record is from RNAcentral.
GUCCUCGUAGUUCAAUGGAUAGAAUAACUCCCUCCUAAGGAGUAGAUGUAGGUUCGAUUCCUGCUGGGGAUACCA